Long non-coding RNA from Salvelinus fontinalis (brook trout), 4060 nucleotides. RefSeq lists it as uncharacterized. NCBI's taxonomy places the organism in Eukaryota, Metazoa, Chordata, Actinopteri, Salmoniformes, Salmonidae. The record is from RefSeq and is a predicted model, not a curated record. The transcript is spliced from 2 exons.
UGGGAUUGGGCUAGCUCCACAAGGCUAGUCCCUGGCAUUGAAUGGGUGCUUACCAGCUUAUUCACUGUGGCUCCACACUUCACAAUGGAUUAAACUCACCAUGGCCUUCUGCCUGACUUCUCUGCACACUCUCAGUUCUUACAGAUUGUUGUUGUCUAAUUGCCUGGAGACAUUCUACACACAUAACGGUCUUUCUGGAAGUCUGUUUUUGAAAGAUCAAUCUGAUAAUUAUGGGCUGUUAUCUAACAAACAAUAAGUAAGGGAUAAACGCCAACGUUCUGUACAUUAUAUUGGAAAUAAUGGAUGACGCAACAGGACGAGACGGAGCCGACUCCCUUUGCAGAGUUCAUUUUUCCAAGCGUCAUCCCAUGUGACAGAAUGCAGCAGCCAACAUACGAAGUAUCGGGGAGUACUGGCGUUCCGGUUGGUGCAGACAUCGGCUCUGGGUCGCCGCAGAUGGAACCGAGGGUGUCUUGCCAGCUCGUCGGGCUUCCACACCCAAGCUGGCUCGAGAGGUUUCCUUGCCUCGGUUGGCUCGGCAGGUUUCCAUCCCACGUCAUAUACAUAUAGCGUAGUUAUAUGGCAUAGUUAAAAAAGUUUGCAUUCUCGUCAACACUGACUGUUAAUUACGAGGAGAUUGCAUUGCAUAUCAAACACUAGGCUAGAAGCUAGCUAAAUAGUUUGUUGCUAGCAAACCUGCCAAUAUGACAACCGAAUUAAAAAAUAUCAGUUGCUGAAAACAGCUGGUGAAACUAGAAACAUGUGGGAGGAUUUGACAGCUUUAGCGGCGGAGGGGACAGGAGAAAUUCAUGUUCAUCACUCACCAUGUUAGGUCAUCAGGUGCUCCAAAGAAAUAUGUCUAUGCAAAAACAAAUGAAUGCUACCGUGUAUUCCUCAUUGGACCUGCGUUUACAAUGUAUCCAAUUUCUGUUUGUGUUGUUGUUGGUUUAGCUUUCUGUAACGUUGUAGCAAGUAUGGUCUGCAUGUGUAGGCACAUUGUGUCAUGUUUGCAAGGUGACCCGAUAUCUUUUCCAACUGUCAUUAUCUGGUUUUAAUGUCCAUUUUAGAAUGCCAUUCGAGCCAAUCAGAAAUCUGUAUUCAACAACGGCGUGGUAUAAUUAAGCAAUAAGGCCCGAGGUGUGGUGUAUGGUCAAUAUACCACGACUAAGGGAUGUUUUUAGGCCCUAUAUAUCACAUACCCCAGAGGUCACUUAUUGCUAUUAUAAACGGGUUACCAAUGUAAUUAGAACAGAGAGAUAGAGAGAGCGAGCAGGAGGGAGAGGCUUGUACAGUACAUUAUCUGUUCAUCACUCUCCUUGUGUGAUUGAACAUGUCCUAUUAUUCCCGGACACAUUUGUGAAUGUGCCAGACAUUAGAGGCCGGAAAGUAUUCCCCUGAGUGAGGAGGCUGGUGGAAACAUUUAAACCUCCGCUCCCUUUACUCACCAAAAGGAACAUGUUAUAAAGUAUUUUUUCCCCCCUUGUUACUAGAUCACACGUUUUGAGUGCUCUUUCAGUGCAAAAAAAAAGUGAAAAGGUAAAAUCAAAUUUUGCCAGAGGCUGGUGUUGCUUGUCCUAAAUAUAUGUUUUCCUCAAUUGGUACGACUGAUAGAUGGUAAACAAACCACUCAAUUUAACCUGUUUGGGCUGCAGGGACAGUAUUGAGUAGCCAGAUAAAAGGUGCCCAUUUCAAACGGCCUCGUACUCAAUUCUUGCUCGUACAGUAUGCAUAUUAUUAUUACUAUUGGAUAGAAAACACUCUCUCGUUUCUAAAACCGUUUGAAUUAUAUCUGUGAGUCAAACAGAACUCAUUUGGCACAAACUUCCUGACCAGGAAGUGGAAAGUCUGAAAUCGAGGCUCUGUUCUACUUCCUGCCUAUACAUGGGCAUGAUACGUAUACGUGCACUUCAUACACCUUCCCCUGGAUGUCAAGAGGCGGUGAGAGAAGAAAUGAGGAGUUUAUCUUGGUCUGAAGUGGAAUACAAGCUCUUUGUAUGACGUGUCCGCCCAUUUCCUGUUUUCUGGAGAGCGCGAAGGGGGACUUGGAUUUGCCUUCUGUUUAUCUGCCGUUAUAGGCGACUAAUAUCUCCGGCUUUGAUUUUAUUUGAUACAUGUGACCAUAUCAUCGUAAAGUAUGUUUUUUCAAUAUAGUUUCAUCAGAUUAUUGAAAAUUUUUGGGGAGUUUUGCCGUGUUCCGUUCUCUUCCGUUUGUUGACAUGGAGAGCUUCGAGCCACUUGGCUAGUGCGCUUGCUAAUUCAAGAGGGAAAAUGAACGUUCUAAAUCCAAACAACGAUUGUUCUUGACAAAGGACACCUUGUCCAACAUUCUGAUGGAAGAUCAGCAAAAAUAAGAAACAUUUUAUGAGGCUAUUUCAUAUAUCUGUCGUGCAUGUGAACUAGUCGCCGGCGGCCAACUUUGGGGUACUCUAUCUAUACCGAAGCUGGAUGUCGUAAUGAAGUUAUUUUUUAGAAUUCUAACACUGCGAUUUCAUUAAGAACUAAUGGAUCUAUCAUUUCCUAUACAACAUGUAUUUUUUAGUUAUGUUUAUGAAUAGCUAUUUGGUCAGAAUAUGUGUGUCAGAAAAAGUGUCAGAAAAAUAUCGUUGCUGUUUAGACGUUGUGGAAAAAGUAGCUAAGAUAGCAGCAUGUAUAACCACUGAUUUCAGCUCUAAAUAUGCACAUUUUCAAACAAAACAUAAGUGUAGGUAUAACCUGAUGUUAUAGGACUGUCAUCUGAUAAAGAAUAUCAAGGUUAGUCAAAAAUUAUAUAUCUUUUACUGGUUUGUUACGAUCGCUAACUUUUACUGCUGGGAAAUGGAUUGUCUUUCUGGCUAUUGUGGUACGCUAAUAUAACGCUAUAUUGUGCUUUCGCUGUAAAACACUUAAUAAAUCGGCAAUAUUGUCUGGAAUCACAAGAUGCCUGUCUUUCAUUUGCUGUACACUAUGUAUUUUUCAGAAAUGUUUUAUGAUGAGUAAUUAGGUAUUUGACGUUGGUGUCUGUAAUUAUUCUGUCUGCUUUCGGUGCAAUUUCUGAUUGUAGCUGCAAUGUAAACUAUGAUUUAUACCUGAAAUAUGCACAUUUUUCGAACAAAACAUAGAUUUAUUGUAUAACAUGUUAUAAGACUGUCAUCUGACGAAGUUGUUUCUUGGUUAGUUUGGUUGGUUCUUGAUUAGUUAGGUUGGCUUUGUGCAUGCUACCUGUGCUGUGAAAAAUGUCUGUCCUUUUUUUGUAUUUUUUGGUGAGCUAACAUAAAUAUACGUGCUGUUUUCGCUGUAAAACAUUUAAAAAAUCGGACAUGUUGGCUGGAUUCACAAGAUGUGUACCUUUCAUUUGCUGUAUUGGACUUGUUAAUGUGUGAAAGUUAAAUAUUUAAAAAUAUAUAUAUUUUGAAUUUCGCGCCCUGCACUUGAGCUGGCUGUUGUCAUAAGUGUACCGACGUCGGGCUUGCAGCCAGAAGAAGUUAAAUUGGCAAUCUGGGAUUCAAACAGCAAAGUGGUCGCCCAGCUACUUUAACUAAGCUCAUGAGGCAUUUAUAAAUUACAAUUAAAAGUCCAAAAAUGUAUUUACCAAUCCCAGAUUGCCCCUUUAAGCAUUCUAGAACUCCCUGGUGAGAUCCCUGGUGUGACAUAACCUUGAGGAAAAUGUAUGAAUAACACUAUAGUUUUGAUGCUAACAUCUGUCACGACUUCUACCGAAGGUUGCUCCUCUCCCUGCUCGGGCGGCGAUCGGCGUCGCCGAUCUACUAGCCAUCACCGAUCCCUUUUUCUGUUUGUUUUGUCUUUGGUUCUUUUUCCACACCUGGUUUCAUUUGCGUUAAUUUCUGUGUGUAUAAUUGUAACCUGUUGCCUGCCUAAGUUUGUGCGGGAUUAGUCUUUUAUUGUGAUGUGCUCGGUUAGAUUAUACCGUUAUUUGUUUUCACGGAUUCUUAAGUGUAUGAGUGUCGGAACUUUGUUUGUUCCCCCGUGCGUUUGUACGGGUUCUCUGUUAUCGAGGGCGUUGUACCUUUUCGAUUGUGCCAUUCCUGUGUUGGUGGACUUUCUUAUUAAACCACACUUCUCA